UAUAAUACCGGAUAGGUCUUGGAUGCUGGAAUGCACCGAGGCCCAAAGCUCCGGCGUCUGAGGAUGGGUCUGCGGCCUAUCAGGGUAGUAGUGGGUGUAAAGUACCUACUAGCCUACGACGGGUACGGGUCGUGAGAGCGAGAGCCCGGAGAUGGAUUCUGAGACACGAAUCCAGGCCCUACGGGGUGCAGCAGGCGCGAAAACUUUACAAUGCCGGCAACGGCGAUAAGGGGACCUCGAGUGCCAGGAUACAAUCCUGGCUGUCGUAAUGCCUAAAAAGCAUUAUAUAGCAAGGGCCGGGCAAGACCGGUGCCAGCCGCCGCGGUAACACCGGCGGCUCGAGUGGUAACCGCUAUUAUUGGGUCUAAAGGGUCUGUAGCCGGCCUGGUAAGUCUUUUGGGAAAUCCGGCAGCUCAACUGUCGGGCUAUCAGAGGAUACUGCUAGUCUCGAGACCGGGAGAGGUGAGAGGUACUUCAUGGGUAGGGGUGAAAUCUUGUAAUCCUUGAAGGACCACCAGUGGCGAAGGCGUCUCACCAGAACGGAUCUGACGGCAAGGGACGAAAGCUAGGGGCACGAACCGGAUUAGAUACCCGGGUAGUCCUAGCCGUAAACGAUACUCGCUAGGUGUCGGCCACGGUGCGACCGUGGUCGGUGCCGUAGGGAAGCCGUGAAGCGAGCCACCUGGGAAGUACGGCCGCAAGGCUGAAACUUAAAGGAAUUGGCG
RNAcentral lists this ribosomal RNA (725 nucleotides) under uncultured archaeon. RNAcentral describes it as "bacterial SSU rRNA". It matches the Rfam family "Archaeal small subunit ribosomal RNA", at positions 145 to 870 of the family's 1478-position model. The record is from RNAcentral.